RNAcentral lists this signal recognition particle RNA (98 nucleotides) under Magnetococcales bacterium. RNAcentral's name for it is "signal recognition particle sRNA small type". It matches the Rfam family "Bacterial small signal recognition particle RNA". From Rfam's summary of the family: The signal recognition particle (SRP) is a universally conserved ribonucleoprotein involved in the co-translational targeting of proteins to membranes. Archaeal SRP consists of a 7S RNA and homologues of the eukaryotic SRP19 and SRP54 proteins. In most bacteria, the SRP consists of a 4.5S RNA and the Ffh protein (a homologue of the eukaryotic SRP54 protein). Lineage: Bacteria; Pseudomonadati; Pseudomonadota; Magnetococcia; Magnetococcales. The record is from RNAcentral.
GAUCAGGAACUGCGCGGCAGAGACCUGCAAACCCCGCCAGGACCGGAAGGUAGCAGCGGUAGCGGGAUCCUCUGGGCGCCGCAACCCUCCUGAUCGGA